RNAcentral lists this transfer RNA (87 nucleotides) under Oryza sativa Indica Group (long-grained rice). RNAcentral describes it as "tRNA-OTHER". The stretch from base 1 to 56 matches the Rfam family "tRNA". Rfam says of the family: Transfer RNA (tRNA) molecules are approximately 80 nucleotides in length. Their secondary structure includes four short double-helical elements and three loops (D, anti-codon, and T loops). Lineage: Eukaryota; Viridiplantae; Streptophyta; Magnoliopsida; Poales; Poaceae. The record is from RNAcentral. RNAcentral also lists the same sequence under 1 other name.
GUCUGGGUGGUGUAGUCGGUUAUCACGCUAGUCUCACACACUAGAGGUCUCAGACAUUAUAAUUUUGAUUUUGUGUUAUGCUGAAUA